CAGCAGCCGCGGGAAUACGAAGGGUGCAAGCGUUAAUCGGAAUUACUGGGCGUAAAGCGUGCGUAGGCGGUGAGUUAAGUCUGCUGUGAAAUCCCCGGGCUCAACCUGGGGAUGGCAGUGGAUACUGGCUCGCUAGAGUGUGUCAGAGGAUGGUGGAAUUCCCGGUGUAGCGGUGAAAUGCGUAGAGAUCGGGAGGAACAUCAGUGGCGAAGGCGGCCAUCUGGGACAACACUGACGCUGAGGCACGAAAGCGUGGGGAGCAAACAGGAUUAGAUACCCGAGUAGUCCCUGUCUCUUAUAC
RNAcentral lists this ribosomal RNA (301 nucleotides) under uncultured bacterium. RNAcentral's name for it is "partial 16S ribosomal RNA". It matches the Rfam family "Bacterial small subunit ribosomal RNA", at positions 509 to 807 of the family's 1533-position model. The record is from RNAcentral.